RNAcentral lists this ribosomal RNA (253 nucleotides) under uncultured bacterium. RNAcentral describes it as "partial 16S ribosomal RNA". It matches the Rfam family "Bacterial small subunit ribosomal RNA", at positions 524 to 776 of the family's 1533-position model. The record is from RNAcentral.
UACGUAGGUGGCAAGCGUUGUCCGGAAUUAUUGGGCGUAAAGCGCGCGCAGGCGGUCCUUUAAGUCUGAUGUGAAAGCCCACGGCUCAACCGUGGAGGGUCAUUGGAAACUGGGGGACUUGAGUACAGAAGAGAAGAGUGGAAUUCCACGUGUAGCGGUGAAAUGCGUAGAGAUGUGGAGGAACACCAGUGGCGAAGGCGACUCUUUGGUCUGUAACCGACGCUGAGGCGCGAAAGCGUGGGGAGCAAACAGG